UUGGUGAGAGCCAGUCGAGCGGCUGGAGAGAAGAGCGAGAGGCUGAACGGUGCGGCGGCGGAAGAUCAGCGAUCGCUGGCAUGAACAUGGCGGAGACCGUACGCUCGCUCUUCGACUACCGGGAGACACACAGCCUGGACAGCGACGGAGAAGGCAUCAAACCGGCACUGCCGCUGAGAGGGCGCGGCUGUGGAAGGAAAAGAAAAGGGACACCCGUGAAAGUCUUUGUUACACACACUGAGGAAGAGAGCGUGUCUGAACACAGCUUCAGCCCAGGUGAUCGUAAAGAAGCAGCAGAGAAUAAACGGCCCAUGCUGGACGGGCCUUUCUACAACACAGAGCUUCACAACUGUGCUCCAUCAGCGCAGGCUCAUGACAAAGUCUCCUCCGGAUCCAAGACCGGCUCAUUCUCAGCCUCUACACCAGCUCCGGCUCCUGCCGCUUCCUCGGCCUCAACCCCAGCACCACUACCUGCUCCGGCCCCGGCAACUUCAGCUCAGGCCCCGUCUAUGACCCCCGCGUCCACGGCUCCAGCUGCCCCGACAGCCUCUGCUCCAGCCCCAACAGCCAGCUCAUUCCCCCCCCCUCCUAACUGCCGCAUCCGAGAGGUCCACUGUGGCAGCCAGGUACGGUUGGUCGUCAUCGCCAUCAGAGACAUCACCAAGGGCGAGGAGAUCACUGUGGACUACAGCCUCACAGAGUGGGGGGAGAACUUGAGUUUCCGUGGAACUGCCUCUCCAACACAACAUGAGUGUAACUCUGACACCGAGAAUAACAACAAUAUCAAAAAGGUAAGAGGAAAACAACACAUUUUCCCUGAAGGCACACAGUCAAACUGACAAAACAUACUUUUAACUUUUUUAAGAAGUGAAAACUAGACAAUUGCCAAAUGUAAUCUACCCAUUGUACACUACCUGCACUUCCAAACGGCAGACGGAGUAAGUGACUAGCUGGUGAACAUAAUGUAAUAAUAAUAAUUAUAAUCUUUUUAAAAGAGCCAGAUAUUUCCCUCAAGAGUUAGUAGAGACCAAAAACAGAGGUAGAAGAGAGUGACUUACAUUCACCAGGGGGCCAGAAGCACGGCUCUACAUGACUGAUAGUGCUGCUCUGUAGCUGCUGGAUGUGUCAAUAGGCAACUUGUUUGAUAACUAGUCCACCAUGUUUACUUAAAAUAUGAUGAUAAUAAUUUCAUUGUUGUUGUUUCUGCUGCCUCCAAGUGGCCAAACAUAUAACUUAUUUCAAGUUUAAGACAGUUUCUCCCAAAUUCAACCUGACAUAUUUGGUUUCUUUGGAAGAUUUGUGAUCUUCACUAAAAUCUGCUAAACCGUGGUAUUAAAAAGGUCAAUACAAUGUUACUAAGAAAAAACUUUCACUGUAUGAAGGACUAUUUUGAAUAAAGUGAUUACAUGCAUUGCAUCUGAUAAUUCUGUGUUGUUGCCUAAACUCUAUGUAGUAAAAAAAACUGCACACCCUGUACAAUACAAACAGAAUACAUGUAGAUGUACAUGCGCCGCUGUGCCUGCAGGACGCCACCUGUCUGGAUGUGGGUGGGCCACACUGAUGUUGGACUCAACAUAAUCAUUAUCAUCAAGUUUUCCUCCCCCUGCUCUGGAUAAUUGUUUUAUUAUGUGUAUUAAUGAUGCAAGAUGUCAUCAAGUUUACCUCAGUAACCUGCUGUGUGUCACACAUGUUCUGGUUUAUUCGUGUGCAGACAAUUGCAACAGACACUGUUGAUUCUCUUGCUGGUGAUCACCUUUUGCUUAUUGUUUUAAAAUGUAACAAUUGUCCUGACUGUGCAUCUCAUUAGACUGGUGGAAGUGUAACACAUCCCUGCAGUAACGACAUUCAAACUGCACUGCGAUGCAUCCCAGUGGUUUACAGUGAUCCCAGUUGUUUAGGAAAAGCCUCUGGUGGCAGCUGGUCUGCCGAAGUAUUGAGGUUUAUUAAGUUCGUAAAUAACUUAAUUACUUUCCUGUUAUAAAUGUUUUGCUAAAAUAAAAGUAUAAUGCAAAUGUAGGUUUGAAAAAGUUACAAAAAAGUGUUUUAUUACAUCCUUUUAAUGUCUCAGGACGGCAGGUAACGUGUGCUUUUUUUCACUUCCCUGUCACUGUCGCUCACUUCCAGGAGGAUGAGCCUCUCUCACUGACAUCCCAGCAGCAACAGCAGCAGCGGCAACAGCAACAGCAGCAGCAGCAGCAGCUACAGCAGGAGUACGUCACCCCCUCAUGGUCCCUCUCCCCCUCCUCCUCCCCCAUCUCCCACUCUGACGGCAGUGACUCAGACGCUGGAGAUGAAGACAACGCCAGCCCCCGCGGGCGGGCACUACAGCGGCAUAAGAAACGACGCAGCACCCCUUCAAAGAAAAAGACCCCCCACCGGACGCCUCCCGGGCGGCCGCCACUGACCUCCCCCACUAGCAUUCCUCAUCACAACCGUCUGCUUCCUUCAUCCCACCCUCCAGCGCAGUCCUCCCCUCCUUGCUCGUCCUCCUCCUCUUCAGCUAAGCCUGUGUUCAAAGCUCCGGCUCCGCUGGGCUCCAACACCAAAGGCAAUGUCAACAUAAAUGUCCCCAGAG
RNAcentral lists this long non-coding RNA (2575 nucleotides) under Cottoperca gobio. RNAcentral's name for it is "lncRNA (ENSCGOG00000002558.1)". Lineage: Eukaryota; Metazoa; Chordata; Actinopteri; Perciformes; Bovichtidae. The record is from RNAcentral.